Molecule: non-coding RNA, 136 nt
Organism: Arachis ipaensis
Lineage: Eukaryota; Viridiplantae; Streptophyta; Magnoliopsida; Fabales; Fabaceae
Source: RefSeq, a predicted model, not a curated record
AUAGUAAUUAAUGUAAAUGCAAGUAAAAAACUAUGGAACAAAGAAUAGAUAAGGACAUACCACAUCUAAGUUCGGAAAAUGUGUUGAUCCAUGGCCGCUAUUCGCAUCAAUAGGAGACUCUAUGCAAAGAAUUUGA